UGAAUCCAUGAACAGAGAGAUCAGCAUUUCCCUUAAUAAGGAUAGAAAAAUUCUUAUAAUACAUACUGUUUAAGCAUUGUCAUCCACUUUGUGACACUACAGAUGGGCCUAU
Molecule: non-coding RNA, 112 nt
Filed under: Zalophus californianus (California sea lion)
Lineage: Eukaryota; Metazoa; Chordata; Mammalia; Carnivora; Otariidae
Source: RNAcentral